GCCGGGCUGGCUCAGCUGGUGGAGCGUGUGACUCUUGAUCUCAGGGGUGUGAGUUCAAGCCCCACGUUGGACA
RNAcentral lists this transfer RNA (73 nucleotides) under Ailuropoda melanoleuca (giant panda). It matches the Rfam family "tRNA". Rfam says of the family: Transfer RNA (tRNA) molecules are approximately 80 nucleotides in length. Their secondary structure includes four short double-helical elements and three loops (D, anti-codon, and T loops). The record is from Rfam by way of RNAcentral. Lineage: Eukaryota; Metazoa; Chordata; Mammalia; Carnivora; Ursidae.